Molecule: ribosomal RNA, 460 nt
Filed under: uncultured bacterium
Lineage: Bacteria
Description: partial 16S ribosomal RNA
Rfam family: Bacterial small subunit ribosomal RNA
Source: RNAcentral
CCUACGGGGGGCUGCAGUGAGGAAUAUUGGUCAAUGGGCGGAAGCCUGAACCAGCCAAGUCGCGUGAGGGAAUAAGGCCCUACGGGUCGUAAACCUCUUUUGCCGGGGAGCAAGGGCCGGGACGCGUCCCGGCCCGGAGAGUACCCGGAGAAAAAGCAUCGGCGAAGUCCGUGCCAGCAGCCGCGGUAAUACGGAGGAUGCGAGCGUUAUCCGGAUUUAUUGGGUUGAAGGGGUGCGUAGGCGGGCUUUUAAGUCUGCGGUAAAAAUUCGGGACUAAACCCCGUCCGGCCGUUGAAACCGGGGGCCUUGAGUGGGCGAGAAGAAGGCGGAAUGCGUGGUGUAGCGGUGAAAUGCAUAGAUAGCACGCAGAACCCCGAUUGCGAAGGCAGCCUUCCGGCGCCCUACUGACGCUGAGGCACGAAAGUGCGGGGAUCGAACAGGAUUAGAUACCCGUGUAGUC